UUCGGAUUGCAGGCUGCAACUCGCCUGCAUGAAGCUGGAAUUGCUAGUAAUCGCGGAUCAGCAAGCCGCGGUGAAUACGUUCCCGGGCCUUGUACACACCGCCCGUCACACCAUGAGAGUCGGGAACACCCGAAGUCCGUAGUCUAACCGCAAGGGGGGCGCGGCCGAAGGUGGGUCCGGUAAUUGGGUGAAGUCGUAACAAGGUAAC
Molecule: ribosomal RNA, 208 nt
Filed under: uncultured bacterium
Lineage: Bacteria
Description: partial 16S ribosomal RNA
Rfam family: Bacterial small subunit ribosomal RNA
Source: RNAcentral